This 438-nucleotide unclassified non-coding RNA is filed under the name uncultured Thelephoraceae. Its description in RNAcentral is "sequence contains ITS2". The stretch from base 1 to 155 matches the Rfam family "5.8S ribosomal RNA". Lineage: Eukaryota; Fungi; Basidiomycota; Agaricomycetes; Thelephorales; Thelephoraceae. The record is from RNAcentral.
AACUUUUAGCAAUGGAUCACUUGGCUCUCGCAUCGUUGAAGAACGCAGCGAAAUGCGAUAAGUAAUGUGAAUUGCAGAUUUCAGUGAAUCAUCGAAUCUUUGAACGCACCUUGCGCCCCCUGGUUAUUCCAUGGGGCAUGCCUGUUUGAGUAUCGUGAACACCUCAACUCUCCUGGUUUUGCCGUGAUGAGCUUGGACGUUGGGGGUCUUGCUGGCCUGUGGUCGGCUCCUCUCAAAUGAAUCAGCUUGCCAGUGUUUGGUGGCGUCACAGGUGUGAUAACUAUCUACGCUUGUGGUUUCCCACCGGGUAACCUUCAGUGAUGAAGGUUCGCUGGAGCUCAUAAAUGUCUCUCCUCAGCGAGGACAGCUUCUUGAAUGUUUGAUCUCAAAUCAGGUAGGGCUACCCGCUGAACUUAAGCAUAUCAAUAAGCGGAGGAU